This 409-nucleotide ribosomal RNA is filed under the name Fusobacteriota bacterium. Its description in RNAcentral is "Fusobacteria bacterium partial 16S ribosomal RNA". It matches the Rfam family "Bacterial small subunit ribosomal RNA", at positions 355 to 776 of the family's 1533-position model. The record is from RNAcentral. Lineage: Bacteria; Fusobacteriati; Fusobacteriota.
UGGGGAAUAUUGCACAAUGGAGGGAACUCUGAUGCAGCAACGCCGCGUGCGGGAUGACGGCCUUCGGGUUGUAAACCGCUUUCAGCCAUGACGAAGCUUUUGUGACGGUAGUGGUAGAAGAAGCAUCGGCUAACUACGUGCCAGCAGCCGCGGUGAUACGUAGGGUGCGAGCGUUGUCCGGAAUUAUUGGGCGUAAAGAGCUUGUAGGCGGUUUGUCGCGUCGAUAGUGUAAACACGCAGCUUAACUUUGUGCCUGCUGUCGAUACGGGCUGACUAGAGGAGGGUAGGGGAGAAUGGAAUUCCCGGUGUAGCGGUGGAAUGCGCAGAUAUCGGGAGGAACACCAGUGGCGAAGGCGGUUCUCUGGACCUUUCCUGACGCUGAGAAGCGAAAGCGUGGGUAGCAAACAGG